GUAGGGAAUAUUGGGCAAUGGUCGGAAGACUGACCCAGCCAUGCCGCGUGCAGGAAGACGGCCCUCUGGGUUGUAAACUGCUUUUAUCUGGGAAGAAAAAGGCCAUGCGUGGCAAAUUGCCGGUACCAGAUGAAUAAGCACCGGCUAACUCCGUGCCAGCAGCCGCGGUAAUACGGAGGGUGCGAGCGUUGUCCGGAUUUAUUGGGUUUAAAGGGUGCGUAGGCGGCUGAUUAAGUCAGCGGUGAAAGACUUCGGCUUAACCGGAGCAGUGCCGUUGAUACUGGUUGGCUUGAGUGUCGGAGGGGUACAUGGAAUUGAUGGUGUAGCGGUGAAAUGCAUAGAUACCAUCAGGAACACCGAUAGCGAAGGCAUUGUACUGGCCGACAACUGACGCUGAUGCACGAAAGCGUGGGGAGCGAACAGGAUUAGAUACCCGGGUAGUCC
RNAcentral lists this ribosomal RNA (444 nucleotides) under uncultured bacterium. RNAcentral's name for it is "partial 16S ribosomal RNA". It matches the Rfam family "Bacterial small subunit ribosomal RNA", at positions 354 to 796 of the family's 1533-position model. The record is from RNAcentral.